CCUACGGGCGGCAGCAGUGGGGAAUAUUGGACAAUGGGGGCAACCCUGAUCCAGCCAUGCCGCGUGUGUGAAGAAGGCCCUCGGGUUGUAAAGCACUUUCAGUGAGGAAGAACGCCUGGUGGUUAAUACCCAUCAGGAAAGACAUCACUCACAGAAGAAGCACCGGCUAACUCCGUGCCAGCAGCCGCGGUAAUACGGAGGGUGCGAGCGUUAAUCGGAAUUACUGGGCGUAAAGCGCGCGUAGGUGGCUUGAUAAGCCGGUUGUGAAAGCCCCGGGCGCAACCUGGGAACGGCAUCCGGAACUGUCAAGCUAGAGUGCAGGAGAGGAAGGUAGAAUUCCCGGUGUAGCGGGGAAAUGCGUAGAGAUCGGGAGGAAUACCAGUGGCGAAGGCGGCCUUCUGGACUGACACUGACACUGAGGUGCGAAAGCGUGGGUAGCAAACAGGAUUAGAUACCCCAGUAGUC
This 465-nucleotide ribosomal RNA is filed under the name Vreelandella stevensii. Its description in RNAcentral is "partial 16S ribosomal RNA". It matches the Rfam family "Bacterial small subunit ribosomal RNA", at positions 338 to 795 of the family's 1533-position model. Lineage: Bacteria; Pseudomonadati; Pseudomonadota; Gammaproteobacteria; Oceanospirillales; Halomonadaceae. The record is from RNAcentral.